This is a long non-coding RNA of Vigna angularis (adzuki bean), 464 nucleotides long. RefSeq lists it as uncharacterized. Lineage: Eukaryota; Viridiplantae; Streptophyta; Magnoliopsida; Fabales; Fabaceae. The record is from RefSeq and is a predicted model, not a curated record. The transcript has 2 exons.
UUGGGGUUCGUCUGAACAGUGGAUUAACGAGCGCUUGUUAUUGGAAUUUGAGUAGAGAAUCUGUGAACGUUCGUCAUUUCCGGAGGGAGAUGAGCGUUUGGAAGAAGCAUUGAAUGAAGAGAGCCUGGUUGAUGUUGAAGUGAAGAUCGAGCAGUGAGAUCGCUCGGCCAGUAUUGUAUUUAGUUGAAUUGAGUGGUCGUUCGACCAUCUCUUGUUUUCUUUUGAGUUAAUUCGACCGUUCAGUAAUUAUCCUGUGUAAACCGUUCGGUCAGGUUUCUUGUACGUUUAUCUUAAAUUUGUAAAACUCUUAUGUGUGGCGUGCGACUUUUGCACAUUCGUCCGUUAUGUUGGAUUUGUACUCAAGGACGUUCGUCCUUGAGCGUUCGUUCGGGUUUUAUUUUGUUUUUAGUUGGAAAACUGUAUUGAAAUAUUAUUAAAUGUGAUUUUCUGAUUUUAUGGUGUUA